GAUGAAGAACGCAGCGAAAUGCGAUAAGUAAUGUGAAUUGCAGAAUUCAGUGAAUCAUCGAAUCUUUGAACGCACCUUGCGCCCUUUGGCUAUUCCGAAGGGCAUGCCUGUUUGAGUAUCAUGAACAUCUCAACUCCUCGCGGUUUGCCCGUGACGAGCUUGGACCUUGGGGGUCUUGCCGGCCUGCGGGUCGGCUCCUCUCAAAUGAAUCGGCUUGCCGGUGUUUGGUGGCGUCACAGGUGUGAUAACUAUCUACGCUUGUGGUUUUCCGCCAGGUAACCUCCAGCGAUGGGGGUUCACUGGAGCUCACAAACGUCUCUCCUCGGCGAGGACGGCUUUUUGAACGUUUGAUCUCAAAUCAGGUAGGACUACCCGCUGAACUUAAGCAUAUCAAUAGCGGAGGA
RNAcentral lists this unclassified non-coding RNA (404 nucleotides) under soil metagenome. RNAcentral describes it as "partial contains 5.8S ribosomal RNA, internal transcribed spacer 2, and large subunit ribosomal RNA". The stretch from base 1 to 121 matches the Rfam family "5.8S ribosomal RNA", at positions 35 to 154 of the family's 154-position model. The record is from RNAcentral.